RNAcentral lists this microRNA precursor (70 nucleotides) under Fukomys damarensis (Damara mole-rat). Its description in RNAcentral is "miRNA (ENSFDAG00000002776.1)". Lineage: Eukaryota; Metazoa; Chordata; Mammalia; Rodentia; Bathyergidae. The record is from RNAcentral.
CACAAGUGCUGCUGGGAGCAGUGGUGCAUGCCUGUAAUCCCAGCUAUUAGGGAGGCUGAGGCAGGAGGAU